UCGGCCGUAGUGUAAUUGGCAGCACCUCACACUUUGGAUGUGAUUGUCCAGGUUCGAACCCUGGCGGCCGAG
RNAcentral lists this transfer RNA (72 nucleotides) under Planosporangium flavigriseum. It matches the Rfam family "tRNA". Rfam says of the family: Transfer RNA (tRNA) molecules are approximately 80 nucleotides in length. Their secondary structure includes four short double-helical elements and three loops (D, anti-codon, and T loops). The record is from Rfam by way of RNAcentral. RNAcentral also lists the same sequence under 1 other name. Lineage: Bacteria; Bacillati; Actinomycetota; Actinomycetes; Micromonosporales; Micromonosporaceae.